GGUUGGAAGUAGAACAAGUGUUGGAUCUUUACAAGUAUGCAUAGGAACAAAUCUCCUGUCCUACGGUAUCCAAGUAGAUUGUCAUGUACAUACAUUUUAGUCUGUAGAAGACCGUCGAUGUUGGCAGAAUAAAAACUGUUUGUCAGAGUUACACAGAGAGAGGAAGGGCGAGAAAGAGGAGAAGGAAAAUGAAGAAGGAGAAAGGAGUGGCAAUAGCAUCGAAUCCAUCUGGCAGCGGCGAAGAAUCAAACGAGAAGGGCGACCUCUCCCUGCCCACGGAGAGAAUCUCUUCCCGAAAUGCUUCUUCCAAAUACGAUUUUGUCAAGGUGAAGGUAUGGUUGGGUGAUAAUGCGGAUCACUACUAUGUUCUGUCCAGAUUUCUCCUCAGUAGAAUGCUUACUGUCACUAAGAUCCCUAAUCAUGUUGCUAUCAAAAUUGCUCUGGAACUCAAAAAGCUGCUCAUAGACAACAGCCUUCUGGACGUCUCCCAAUCAGAUUUGGAAGCUAAUCUGUUUAAGCUUAUGGAGCGGCGGGGAUAUGGGGAAGAAUACAUUAACCGUUAUAAGAUGAUGACAAGAUUUCACCACCAAAGGGUACCAUUGGUGAUUCUUGUGUGUGGAACUGCUUGUGUUGGGAAGUCAACCAUUGCGACCCAACUUGCACAAAGGCUAAACUUGCCUAAUGUUUUACAGACAGAUAUGGUAUAUGAAUUGCUACGCACAUCAACAGACGCGCUAUUGGCAUCUACUCCCGUAUGGGCACGUGGCUUCACCUCAUCUGAGGAACUCAUCACUGAAUUUUGUAGGGAAUGCAGAAUUGUUCGUAAAGGUUUGGCUGGUGAUUUGAAGAAGGCAGUGAAAGAUGGAAAACCCAUUAUUAUUGAGGGAAUACAUUUGGAUCCAAGUAUUUAUUUAAUGAAUGAUGAGAAUAGAGAAUCAAACAAAGUUCCUACAGAAAAAGAAGAGUCAAAAUCUGUUCCUGUUAACAGAGAGGGUGAUGUUGCAACAGAAAAGGAAUACAAUUCAAAAAUUACUUGUGGAAGUCACAGUGGGAGUACCAAUCCUGGAAAUGUUGUCCCAGAAGUAGAUGUAUCUACUGAACAGGUGACAGAAGUUUCAGAGUCCCUGAGGUCUCUCGACUUAGCAGGAAGAACUUCUGAAAGCCAAGGUGAAACUGCUAAAGAUCCAGAGUUAAGGACCAAUCAUUCUAUGAAGAAAGAGAAGUCUGCUCCUGAACCUAUAAUUAUACCUAUUGCUCUGAAGAUGGCUGAGUUUGAUCACAAGCUGAUCUCCCAUUGGUUCUUUGCUUGGGUUGUGUGAUGCUGAUCGAGGCUUAGGUGGGAUGCCCAAGUCAUAUCCUUUUUAUAUUUUUGCUUCCAUAUGUUAAAAAAAAAAAAAAAAAGGCAUUUUUUUUCCUGUAAUUGAUUUUUGUUCAUCCUUAUAUCAUCGAUCUUUUUGCAAUUGAUCUCCUAGUGGUAAUUUCCCUAGUCUGAGAUCAAUUCCACAUUACAUUGGGUCCAAUUCAUUUCAGAACCUUGAAUCAGUUGAAUGUACACAUCUUUCGAGGAUGCAGCUUAGAGUUGGUGCCGAGUGUGAACCUUUCCGGAGCAACAUAUACCAUCACAAUUUCACUUGGCUUAUUGGGUCGCCGCACAUCGGUGAUAUGUCAGAUGAACUCACCACCUUCAACGCCAACUCUUAACAUGAGAAGGUAGAGGUGGCAAGUCUAUUGGUCUCUUAGGUUGAAUUCCAAGUACUAUCUCAAAUGGUGUGCGACCAAUGGUGUGGUUGACAGAACUGUUGUAAGAAAAUUCAGCAAUGUCGAGUAUCUAUGGCCAAGUUUUCUCAUGAUCUUGUACAAGACAUCAUAAAAGGUUGCCAAGACUUCAUAACUUCCAGCUGCCCAUCAUUCUGCAAUUGAAAGGCUGAAGAAAACGGCAACUUUGUAUUUGUACUCAUCCACAAAGCUUUCCAAAAGUAACUCAUGAACUUUAAAUCAUGAUCGGAGACAAGCGAUUCCGGGAAUCCAUGUAGUCACACUUUAUUUGAAAAUAUGGUGGCAGUGUAGCUUUCAUCAUAGGUCGCCCUACAAGGUAUGAAGUGAGCCAUUCUUUGAGAAUCUGUCCACCAAAAGUAUGCAAUCGUGCCUUUCCCAAGUAGGGGCAAGCCAAGCACGAAGUCCAUGCUGAUAUGUAGCCAUUGUGCAUAAGGCUUUACUAGAGGAGUGGAUUUCUACUAGGACAUUUGUUGACAAAUGUCUAUCCCAGGUACCUUGGAUGACUGCCGCAACAAUCGAUUAAGAGAUUUAGAUUGUAUAUAUAUCAUAUGGAAUAUAAUGUUGCUUUUCCAACAUGUUAAUUUCUUCAGAGGUCAGCAUGUAGCUUUGAUAUUUGAUCGUUCGCCACUGUUAAGCAGGUUUGGUAUGAAGUUGCUAACCCAGGAAGGCAGGAUCUAAAAGAAAAAUUUUGUGGUUAAAAGAUCA
Macadamia integrifolia is the source of this 2481-nucleotide RNA transcript. RefSeq lists it as uncharacterized. The transcript is spliced from 13 exons. Lineage: Eukaryota; Viridiplantae; Streptophyta; Magnoliopsida; Proteales; Proteaceae. The record is from RefSeq and is a predicted model, not a curated record.